Molecule: long non-coding RNA, 1398 nt
Organism: Oreochromis niloticus (Nile tilapia)
Lineage: Eukaryota; Metazoa; Chordata; Actinopteri; Cichliformes; Cichlidae
Exons: 4
Source: RefSeq, a predicted model, not a curated record
CAGUGUCAAGACUUGUUUCUAGAGGAAUCUUCUUAUCCUGCUUCUUACUUUGGUCAGUUGUAUUCAGUAAAGGGUAGAUGAGUGACUGAGUUACUAAAAUGUCACACAAUUAAAACAAAAGCAAGGGCAAACACGACAAAACAAUAAGGAAACUCAGCAAAGUGAAGGCACGGUCUGUGUCCUAGUUCAUUGCCAGCUUCUUCUAUGCAGCAGUGUACAAAACAGGACCCAAGAGUGAGGACUGAGAUUGGAAAUUAGAAAAGAAGGAACAUACCUAAUGAGGAGAAAUCAGGCUCCUGUGGGCUUUGGCCUUUACUAGUCAGAUUUCACAGUGGUGAGCUGAAUUCCCCUGACACCAAUGCAACCCUACUCACCCUCAGCAUGCCUCAAAUGAAUGAUCAGCAAAUUUUUUCAGGAUGUUAAGAAUGCCAACUAGCUAUUCUAGAAAUUACAUAAAAAGCCUCAAUAAUUUUUGUGAUGUGCUUCACAGGGCACUUGAGUUUAUUAAACUGUCUCCAUAUUUGAAGAGUUUUCCACUCAAACGAAUGAACGGCAUUUCUCCAAGCAAGACCCUGGGAGGAGUGGAGCUAUAAGUAAAAUCACUAACAGAUGAGAUGAAUACAGAAGAUGAACAGAAGUCAGGCUGGGGACACACAAAAGGAUUACUGGAUGAUUUACACCAGAUUUGUCCAAGAGAUCAGAGGGAAGUCUUGAUUAGAGGUUUGGCUAGGUUUUUAUAUCAUGUCUAAUCCUUACCAAACUCCCUUGUCCUGGUAGAUCUGGUAGCCUCCUGUAUCCAGUUAUAAAAUAACUGAGAUGAGAUCCCCACCACAAAGAUUACAACCAAUUCCACAAACCUUUGACCUGUGGAAACCUGCUACUCAGCUUCAGGCAACUGGACUAGCUGCUAGCAUUUGUUUAACUUAGUGAAAAUACAGACAAGUGAGGCCUUCAGUGAUCUGGAUGUUUUGGGACCUCAUGGAUGAUUCGUCGAUUCGCUCUUGGAAUAAUUUCUGCUUCACUUUGUCGAACAGCUUCUAUUUAAGGGAUUUCUUGACUCAACAGUUGUGGACCAGGAUGAUGGAGCUGCCAGGCAGGAGGAAAAGAGGAAGACCUCAGAGGAGAUUCAUGGCUGGAGAUGAUCCACUGUAGCAACCCCUGAAGCAAGCAAUUCAAAGAAGAAGUGGCCUGUACCAUCUGAUCUAGGUGAUUUCAACGUUAUCUUGCUAUGAUAAUGUGGUGGGGCGUGGCCUGCGGUGCCGUGCAGGGAAGGUGGAUGCACCUGCACGGCAUCUGCAAUCAUGCACUGCCGACUUAAAUAUUGUACUGGGUCCUGUGGUUGGGGUUUUUGUGGUAAUGUUGAGCGGGCAGCGGGAGAGCUGUAGCUCUGUGUGCAUU